This 2895-nucleotide ribosomal RNA is filed under the name Escherichia albertii. Its description in RNAcentral is "bacterial LSU rRNA". It matches the Rfam family "Bacterial large subunit ribosomal RNA". Lineage: Bacteria; Pseudomonadati; Pseudomonadota; Gammaproteobacteria; Enterobacterales; Enterobacteriaceae. The record is from RNAcentral.
ACUAAGCGUACACGGUGGAUGCCCUGGCAGUCAGAGGCGAUGAAGGACGUGCUAAUCUGCGAAAAGCGUCGGUAAGGUGAUAUGAACCGUUAUAACCGGCGAUGUCCGAAUGGGGAAACCCAGUGUGUUCCGACACACUAUCAUUAACUGAAUCCAUAGGUUAAUGAGGCGAACCGGGGGAACUGAAACAUCUAAGUACCCCGAGGAAAAGAAAUCAACCGAGAUUCCCCCAGUAGCGGCGAGCGAACGGGGAGGAGCCCAGAGCCUGAAUCAGUGUGUGUGUUAGUGGAAGCGUCUGGAAAGGCGCGCGAUACAGGGUGACAGCCCCGUACACAAAAAUGCACAUGCUGUGAGCUCGAUGAGUAGGGCGGGACACGUGGUAUCCUGUCUGAAUAUGGGGGGACCAUCCUCCAAGGCUAAAUACUCCUGACUGACCGAUAGUGAACCAGUACCGUGAGGGAAAGGCGAAAAGAACCCCGGCGAGGGGAGUGAAAAAGAACCUGAAACCGUGUACGUACAAGCAGUGGGAGCCCUGAUUUAUCAGGGUGACUGCGUACCUUUUGUAUAAUGGGUCAGCGACUUAUAUUCUGUAGCAAGGUUAACCGAAUAGGGGAGCCGGAGGGAAACCGAGUCUUAACUGGGCGUUAAGUUGCAGGGUAUAGACCCGAAACCCGGUGAUCUAGCCAUGGGCAGGUUGAAGGUUGGGUAACACUAACUGGAGGACCGAACCGACUAAUGUUGAAAAAUUAGCGGAUGACUUGUGGCUGGGGGUGAAAGGCCAAUCAAACCGGGAGAUAGCUGGUUCUCCCCGAAAGCUAUUUAGGUAGCGCCUCGUGAAUUCAUCUCCGGGGGUAGAGCACUGUUUCGGCAAGGGGGUCAUCCCGACUUACCAACCCGAUGCAAACUGCGAAUACCGGAGAAUGUUAUCACGGGAGACACACGGCGGGUGCUAACGUCCGUCGUGAAGAGGGAAACAACCCAGACCGCCAGCUAAGGUCCCAAAGUCAUGGUUAAGUGGGAAACGAUGUGGGAAGGCCCAGACAGCCAGGAUGUUGGCUUAGAAGCAGCCAUCAUUUAAAGAAAGCGUAAUAGCUCACUGGUCGAGUCGGCCUGCGCGGAAGAUGUAACGGGGCUAAACCAUGCACCGAAGCUGCGGCAGCGACGCUGAUGCGUUGUUGGGUAGGGGAGCGUUCUGUAAGCCUGUGAAGGUGGCCUGUGAGGGUUGCUGGAGGUAUCAGAAGUGCGAAUGCUGACAUAAGUAACGAUAAAGCGGGUGAAAAGCCCGCUCGCCGGAAGACCAAGGGUUCCUGUCCAACGUUAAUCGGGGCAGGGUGAGUCGACCCCUAAGGCGAGGCCGAAAGGCGUAGUCGAUGGGAAACAGGUUAAUAUUCCUGUACUUGGUGUUACUGCGAAGGGGGGACGGAGAAGGCUAUGUUGGCCGGGCGACGGUUGUCCCGGUUUAAGCGUGUAGGCUGGUUUUCCAGGCAAAUCCGGAAAAUCAAGGCUGAGGCGUGAUGACGAGGCACUACGGUGCUGAAGCAACAAAUGCCCUGCUUCCAGGAAAAGCCUCUAAGCAUCAGGUAACAUCAAAUCGUACCCCAAACCGACACAGGUGGUCAGGUAGAGAAUACCAAGGCGCUUGAGAGAACUCGGGUGAAGGAACUAGGCAAAAUGGUGCCGUAACUUCGGGAGAAGGCACGCUGAUAUGUAGGUGAAGCGACUUGCUCGUGGAGCUGAAAUCAGUCGAAGAUACCAGCUGGCUGCAACUGUUUAUUAAAAACACAGCACUGUGCAAACACGAAAGUGGACGUAUACGGUGUGACGCCUGCCCGGUGCCGGAAGGUUAAUUGAUGGGGUCAGCGCAAGCGAAGCUCUUGAUCGAAGCCCCGGUAAACGGCGGCCGUAACUAUAACGGUCCUAAGGUAGCGAAAUUCCUUGUCGGGUAAGUUCCGACCUGCACGAAUGGCGUAAUGAUGGCCAGGCUGUCUCCACCCGAGACUCAGUGAAAUUGAACUCGCUGUGAAGAUGCAGUGUACCCGCGGCAAGACGGAAAGACCCCGUGAACCUUUACUAUAGCUUGACACUGAACACUGGUCCUUGAUGUGUAGGAUAGGUGGGAGGCUUUGAAGUGUGGACGCCAGUCUGCAUGGAGCCGUCCUUGAAAUACCACCCUUUAAUGGCUGGUGUUCUAACGUUGGCCCGUAAUCCGGGUUGCGGACAGUGUCUGGUGGGUAGUUUGACUGGGGCGGUCUCCUCCUAAAGAGUAACGGAGGAGCACGAAGGUUGGCUAAUCCUGGUCGGACAUCAGGAGGUUAGUGCAAUGGCAUAAGCCAGCUUGACUGCGAGCGUGACGGCGCGAGCAGGUGCGAAAGCAGGUCAUAGUGAUCCGGUGGUUCUGAAUGGAAGGGCCAUCGCUCAACGGAUAAAAGGUACUCCGGGGAUAACAGGCUGAUACCGCCCAAGAGUUCAUAUCGACGGCGGUGUUUGGCACCUCGAUGUCGGCUCAUCACAUCCUGGGGCUGAAGUAGGUCCCAAGGGUAUGGCUGUUCGCCAUUUAAAGUGGUACGCGAGCUGGGUUUAGAACGUCGUGAGACAGUUCGGUCCCUAUCUGCCGUGGGCGCUGGAGAACUGAGGGGGGCUGCUCCUAGUACGAGAGGACCGGAGUGGACGCAUCACUGGUGUUCGGGUUGUCAUGCCAAUGGCACUGCCCGGUAGCUAAAUGCGGAAGAGAUAAGUGCUGAAAGCAUCUAAGCACGAAACUUGCCCCGAGAUGAGUUCUCCCUGAGACAUUAAGUCUCCUGAAGGAACGUUGAAGACGACGACGUUGAUAGGCCGGGUGUGUAAGCGCAGCGAUGCGUUGAGCUAACCGGUACUAAUGAACCGUGAGGCUUAACC